UGUGUUCUCAAGGUGGAGGUCUUGUGUUUGAAUCCCUAUGCAGCAAGGGUAUUAUUUUUGCUCAAAUUUUGAGAUAGAGUUGUGUGUUAGGGGGAUUCUGAGUGGCGGAUGUGUAGUGGGAAUUAGGGGAGAAGAUUAAGGGAUUUUGGGGGUUAUUGAGAUUUUAUUUUAUUUUAUUUUUUUCCCAUAACCGAAUUUUAACUCUCUUUUCCAAAAAAAUUAUGCCGCCUUUUGUUCUCCCUCUCCUCUUGCCAAAAUUCUCUGCGUUUUUUCAUCUUUCUUUUCUUUUUCUUCUUCUUCAAUUUUCUCUAAUCCAUUUAUUUUCCUUCAUUUCCGCACGCGGUUAGUG
RNAcentral lists this long non-coding RNA (349 nucleotides) under Gossypium raimondii (Peruvian cotton). Its description in RNAcentral is "long non-coding RNA (GRAI_LNC010579)". The record is from RNAcentral. Lineage: Eukaryota; Viridiplantae; Streptophyta; Magnoliopsida; Malvales; Malvaceae.